CUAGUGAAUAUUCUUCUUUAGAUGAAGAUCCUUGCAAUGUUUUCUCCAAGUUCAUUUUGACAUCUGAUGUUGAGCUCUCCGUUAGAGGGGCAAAAUCAGAUCUCAGUAAUUGGUUGCAGAUGGCUGACUUAGGCCUUGUUGAUGACUUGGAGAAACUUCCAUAUGUUUCCGCUGCUUUGGAGCAACUGGAAGAAAGGAUGAAAUACUGGUCUGAGUUCAGAUAUUACAGUAGCAGCCCCCCUCUAAAAAAUAGCUCCUCUCCUAUCUCUAGUAACAAAUUGAAGAACUCUGAUAAUCCGAAAACUUCACAUACGAACAGUGGGCAUAAACUCUCCCCUCUUUCAGAUGGAGAUAUUAUUACCGGUGUUUCAGGGCUUUCUGUUUCACCCC
This 390-nucleotide ribosomal RNA is filed under the name Triticum aestivum (bread wheat). RNAcentral describes it as "partial small subunit ribosomal RNA". Lineage: Eukaryota; Viridiplantae; Streptophyta; Magnoliopsida; Poales; Poaceae. The record is from RNAcentral.